CAGCUCCUCAAGUGGUCGGGAUGUUUAUUGGGCCUAAAGCAUUCGUAGCCGGCCCUGCAAGUUCCUGGUCAAAUCCAGCCGCUCAACGGUUGGGCUGCUGGGAAUACUACAGGGCUUGGGAGCGGGAGAGGCCGAGGGUACUCCUAGGGUAGGGGUGAAAUCCUGUGAUCCCGGGAGGACCACCAGUGGCGAAGGCGGUCGGCUAGAACGCGCUCGACGGUGAGGGACGAAAGCUGGGGGAGCGAACCGGAUUAGAAACCCGGGGUAGUCCCAGCUGUAAACGAUGCGGGCUAGGUGUUGGGGUGGCCCACGAGCCCACUUCAGUGCCGCAGCGAAGGCAUUAAGCCCGCCGCCUGGGGGAGUACGGCCGCAAGGCUG
This 378-nucleotide ribosomal RNA is filed under the name uncultured organism. RNAcentral's name for it is "partial 16S ribosomal RNA". It matches the Rfam family "Archaeal small subunit ribosomal RNA", at positions 477 to 851 of the family's 1478-position model. The record is from RNAcentral.